This 4499-nucleotide long non-coding RNA is filed under the name Equus caballus (horse). RNAcentral's name for it is "lncRNA (ENSECAG00000037342.2)". Lineage: Eukaryota; Metazoa; Chordata; Mammalia; Perissodactyla; Equidae. The record is from RNAcentral.
CGGUGACAAAGCCGGGUGGCACAGAAUAGCUCUGUGGAAUAGCUGGGAGGGGCAAUUAAUCCAGGCGGGUGAUCAGAGAAAGCUUCCUGGAAGAGGUGCCGUCUAAGCAAAAACCUCGGUAGGCAUACUUUAUGAGUUAACCAGGCGAAGACGGGAAAGAUGAGUUUCCCCAGCAGAGGGAAUAUAACUGCAAAAGCCCAGAGACGUGCAGAGUGGCUCAGCAAGCCUGCGGUGCAGCAGAGAUAGCCUGUGGGAGGAGAAGGAGGGUGCCAAGAGAGGUCUGCCAUCAGGCCCUGCAGGGCCUGGUCCAGGAGAGCAGCGGAGAGCCGCGGAAGGAUGUCAGCUAAGAGCACUGAGAUGAGAGAUACACUUUAGAAGGGUUUCUCUGCUGCAGAACGGAGAAUAAAUUAGAGGGUCCCCGCGUGCAGGAGCCAAGCUGAGGCCUGGAAACCGGCUGGCAGGCUGUUACAGGGUGGCCAGAGGCGCCGGUGGUCUGCGAGAAGGUCUGUUCCUGGCUGUCCCUUCAGUGAUCUGAGCUCCCUUCUUGGCAUCUGUGGGAAUGAGAUCCUGAACAGCCCAGUAGGAUGCUGCUAAGUGGCACGGCAGAGUUGGCCUCUGAAGCCACAGAAACUUCACUCUGAAUUCCACCCCGUCUGCCUGCCCAAGUCAUGGAAGCUCUCCACACCUCGGUUCCUUCACCUGUAAAAUGGUUUGUGGAGAUGCGGGAUUAGUACCUAUCUAGAUUUCAGCUCAAGACAAGCCCACAGGAUGACAGCUGAUGUCCCCAGAGCUCAUCUCUUCUCUCCCACUGCCUUGUCUGUCCAGGUCUUCAGUCUGAGACCAAGAACAGGUCACUCAUUCAGUCCUGAUGUCCCCUAGUCCUGGCAUCAACUAGCUGGACCCAGGUACCAGCCUCCCUUGCCCGCCCCUCUGCAUGCCCGCGGGCCUCCUCUGCCAGGGCAGCAGCCUGCCACAGCCGGCCCGAGCAGGACGGGGUUGGGAACAUCUCCAGCCCCUGGCAGGGCCCAGUGUCAGUUUCAGGCCCUUCUGGGGUAGAAGGAGGUGUGGGGUGGGGCUGCCAAAGUCAACACAGCCCGUCUCCACAGGCGGGGCCUGGUUUGGCACCUGUGGACCUCGUUCCCAGCCCACAUGCCCGGGUCCUGGCCUCUCCUGGGGUCGGCUGGGGUUUCUCUCCCCCCAGUUCUCAGAGUACAAAGCUUCUCCGUCUCCAUCAUGCAGUCUGCUCAUCGCUCUCCAGGACCACGGACCUGCCAGCCGCUCCCUUCCCCAAACCCCAGACAAGCCCCUGGAGUAUUUGUCCUCUGCACAUACACCUAAGACAGAAACUACCCACCCCCCACGAUUCACGGCCACAUUAGCGUGACUUUACCAUUCCAGCUAAAAGCCCUGACUGUUCACUAUAGGAACUUCCAGAAAGCCCUGCGAAGUCUGCAGCAGUUUGCUCCCUAAAAUUUUCACCUAAAAUGCUCAGCUUGCUCUUUCCACGAAUCCUUGACUUGCACAGUGAUCCUCACCCCAUUACGUCAAGGCCCCUCACUGUGAAAGUCCCAUCUGGAACCAAAUUUCCAGCUCCCCAUCCAUUCCGACCUUGCCCACCCUGACCCAGGGGCUGCCCAACCUUAUCCACACGGCAGCUCUUCACUGAGGGGAACGGCAAACGGGGCUUGUUACCGGGAGGUCGUGCUGGUGAUGUUUGGGGAGUGGGCAUUCGACACUUUCUACUCAUCUUCUCCCCAAAAUGAGCCGCUCUGGUCUCUGCAGGUGCAGCCCCAAUGAGACCCCAAACCUGGCCACCACCCCUGAACAGCAUGUGUUUUCUCAAUUCCUCGGGCCAAGCCCAGCUCCCCGCCCUACAGCAGCCACUGCCUGCCUAGGCCAGGCCCACCCAGGUCUCCUCACCUGUGGACAGAAGGGAUGGGAUGGUGGGAAGGGAGUGGAUUUAACUAACAAAUGGGUGAGGGUUGCAAUUGGGGGUGGGCAGAACCCCACCCCUCCAGACUCUCUCCCUCAAAUGAACGGGAAGGGGGCAACCCUCCCCCCCAUCCAACAGCCUGAUUUGUUUUGCAAAAUUUGAGGGUGUUCUACACCCAGGCCCCAGGGAAGACGCAAGAGCAGGUGGAGACAAGGCCACUCCACACCCGGCUCCCCCCUCCCCACAGUGUGCGUCCCUUCUUCACUCUACUUCCAAAUCUUCUCCAGGUCUCCUAGCCCCCAGACACUCUGCACCCCAAACCCCUAAGCCCUUCCCCUGGGACCUGUGUGCUCAGGUAAGAGAACCUGGCAAUGAGCAGCCAGCCCUUCCCCCAAACAGACGGGGCAGCAAACACCCGAGGCCUGCCCUCCCGGGGACCACAACAGCUGCAUUUUGAGCCUGAGGCUGGAGCAAUUCAGAAAGAAGCCCCGCCUCGCUCAGGGCCCAGACGUGCCCCCGGGGUGGGGGUGGGGGGGGCAGCGGGAAGUUGCCAGUGCCCUUUGCCCACAAGGGGCAGGCUCAGCGGGAGCCACCCGCCGCCUCACCCAGCACUGCCCGCCCUCCCCGGGCAGGGCCCUCCUUCCUCCCCCCCAGGGCUCCCUCCCAGGCCGGCCGGGUCCCAGGGCUGCUGCACAAAGAGCCCUUUGUCUGGCUGGAAACAAUGCCUCUCCCCUGUAUGGCAACACGGCUGUGUCUCAUAAUCAAGCUUUCAGAGGCUGGAUCAAAGGGCACUCCAGCAGAGUUGUGCUCGGAGCUGCUGACAACCUGUCAUCCACCCUUAAUCCUCACCUGUCCCCAGCCCACUGAGAGCACCUUUCUCCCCGGGGCAGGGCCUGUGUGCACCCUGGAGCGGAAGGGAGCUGGGGGGGACCAAGGAGGGCAGGGUGGGUCUCUCCCGCUGGCACCUUGGGCUCAGGUUACAGCCCCUGCCAGCAGAGCACUGGGUGUGGACGUGCAAAGAGGCACUACCUGGGGAGAAGGAGAGGGUGGUGCCUGGUUUGGCCCGGGGCCACCCCCAUCUCCCAGAUCCCCUCUCAGGCGGGCGGGCGGGUGUGGGCAACCCCUCAGACCCGCCAGAGCCUCUCGUCCCCAUCUGCUUGGGCGCUGGCAGACCCUUCGUAUCUCUGUUUUGGAAUCCAACAAAGACAAGCUCUAGACCGCUUGGAGAUUAAAACCAGCCCCUCCCUCGAGGCUGGAGCCCCCUCUCUGGGGCCAGCGCUGCAGUCAGAGCAGAAAAUCACAUGAUCGCUGCUGGAAGAGGCGUUGGGCCAGUUCCUCCCGGAUCACACGCGAGUUCUGCGCAGCUACCCCAUCGUUCCUGGGAGAUCAUAGAUUUUCUUGGUAUUUCAAAAUAAUGUAAGCAUCACUGAUCUGGCCCGGUCUACAUCAUUUUACAGAUGGGGAAACUGAGGCUCAGGGAGGGGAACUCACCCAGCGGGCUUCGUGGUACAGCUGAGGCCACAAGUUAUGGCAUCACGACCAUGAUGUGGGUCCCUGCCUUUCCUCCAGAAGAGCCCUCCCAGCAGCCCCACCUCAGGGGUUUGUGACCUUUUACAAGGUCAAGGUUAAUUCAAACGUCUGGGAGACACAUGGUCAAGCAGAGAUGGACCAGAUAAGAGCUGACCGAGGAGGCUAUGAAUAAACACAUGGGUUCAACCUGCAGGGUGCAGGGCACUGAGAUAGCAACAGGCUGCCUCCACGAUGCACGACACACGUGCAGACCUGUGCUCGCGAGGAGGGGGCCCAGAGGAGCCUCGUGCCACCCCCGCCAGGCUGGCUGUGGGCAGAAGUUCAGGACCUCCGCUCCAGGACCAGGGGACUCGUUGAGCGUUCUGGGUGAGCCCCAGCUGAGGUACGAGAGGGACCUCACAGGUAGGUCAAGGACCACAGACCACGUGUGACCUGGGCCCUGGUGUGUGGCCUGGGCUCUGUGGAGACAGGCAGGAGGAAGGGGUCCCGUCCCAGAGACAGGACUCACGGCCCCACCUGCUCCUCACACAGCAGCCAGACCCUCCAGCCGCCCCUCCCACUCGGAGUCAGAGCUGACGUCCUCCAGGGCCCCAGAGAUCUGCCUGCGCCCCAGACCCCCUCCUGGCCCCUGGUGUCCUCUUCGUUCCGCUUGCAAUCCUGCUCCUUGGCCCCUGGCCCCACAGCCGCUCUGCCUGAGUCUCUCCCCACGACAGGCCCCGCUCAGGUCUCAGACCUCAGGCCUCUGCUCAGCCAUUCCCUUAACCCAGAGACCACCUGGGCGAGCCCACCCAGGAGCCAGCCUUGCCCCGGCUCCAUCCCCAGCCCUUCCCCCUGCUUUGUUUUCCUUCAGGGAACCGAUCAGCCCCUGACAUAAUUAUUUGACUUACUGUUGAUUAUAUUUUUUAUUUUAUGUAUAUAAUCUAUUAUAUGGUGUAAUAUAGCUUAGUACAAAAAUAUUUCAUAUAUCAUUUAUAUAUUUUUUAAAUAGAAUUAUCAUAAAUGAUUUUGUUAAUUACAUUUUCAUUACUAUCUAUAA